GGCUGACUAGAAUGACUCACAUUU
This 24-nucleotide non-coding RNA is filed under the name Arabidopsis thaliana (thale cress). The record is from RNAcentral. Lineage: Eukaryota; Viridiplantae; Streptophyta; Magnoliopsida; Brassicales; Brassicaceae.